GAGCACUGUUUCGGCUAGGGGGCCAUCCCGGCUUACCAACCCGAUGCAAACUGCGAAUACCGGAGAAUGUUAUCACGGGAGACACACGGCGGGUGCUAACGUCCGUCGUGAAGAGGGAAACAACCCAGACCGCCAGCUAAGGUCCCAAAGUCAUGGUUAAGUGGGAAACGAUGUGGGAAGGCCCAGACAGCCAGGAUGUUGGCUUAGAAGCAGCCAUCAUUUAAAGAAAGCGUAAUAGCUCACUGGUCGAGUCGGCCUGCGCGGAAGAUGUAACGGGGCUAAACCAUGCACCGAAGCUGCGGCAGCGACACUAUGUGUUGUUGGGUAGGGGAGCGUUCUGUAAGCCGUUGAAGGUGUGCUGUGAGGCAUGCUGGAGGUAUCAGAAGUGCGAAUGCUGACAUAAGUAACGAUAAAGCGGGUGAAAAGCCCGCUCGCCGGAAGACCAAGGGUUCCUGUCCAACGUUAAUCGGGGCAGGGUGAGUCGACCCCUAAGGCGAGGCCGAAAGGCGUAGUCGAUGGGAAACAGGUUAAUAUUCCUGUACUUGGUGUUACUGCGAAGGGGGGACGGAGAAGGCUAUGUCGGCCGGGCGACGGUUGUCCCGGUUUAAGCGUGUAGGUGUGUGCUCCAGGCAAAUCCGGUGCACUUUAACACUGAGGCGUGAUGACGAGGCACUACGGUGCUGAAGUGACAAAUGCCCUGCUUCCAGGAAAA
This 712-nucleotide ribosomal RNA is filed under the name Citrobacter koseri. RNAcentral's name for it is "partial 23S ribosomal RNA". It matches the Rfam family "Bacterial large subunit ribosomal RNA", at positions 905 to 1616 of the family's 2925-position model. Lineage: Bacteria; Pseudomonadati; Pseudomonadota; Gammaproteobacteria; Enterobacterales; Enterobacteriaceae. The record is from RNAcentral.